CUCUGCAGUACUCUACUAUGCUGCAAAUUUUGAAAAGGUAAAAUAAAUCUGCAACAUUUUGAAGAAAAAGAAUCUACUGCAGUCAGGAUCGUCAGUGAAAUCAUGCAGAAAAAGU
Molecule: long non-coding RNA, 115 nt
Organism: Amblyraja radiata (thorny skate)
Lineage: Eukaryota; Metazoa; Chordata; Chondrichthyes; Rajiformes; Rajidae
Exons: 3
Source: RefSeq, a predicted model, not a curated record